CUGGUAUUGCAGUACUUCCAGGAACG
This 26-nucleotide non-coding RNA is filed under the name Cricetulus griseus (Chinese hamster). The record is from RNAcentral. Lineage: Eukaryota; Metazoa; Chordata; Mammalia; Rodentia; Cricetidae. RNAcentral also lists the same sequence under 1 other name.